This 232-nucleotide long non-coding RNA is filed under the name Setaria italica (foxtail millet). Its description in RNAcentral is "long non-coding RNA (SITA_LNC003918)". The record is from RNAcentral. Lineage: Eukaryota; Viridiplantae; Streptophyta; Magnoliopsida; Poales; Poaceae.
CAUCAUCCGCUAUGGCGGCCUCCUUCCUCCGGCCCCUCCUGCCUCCCAACCCCUUCCUCUCCGCCCGCAGACCUCACCUCCUCGCUGCUCCCGCCACCAUCACCACCGCCACCGUACGCUGCACCGCGGCGCCCAAACCGGCAACCUCCACGCCGAAAUCCAUCCAAGAAGAGGCCAGCAGCAACCGCGAACAGCAGCUGCCGCAGGCAGACCCCAACGGCGCCGCCACUCC